RNAcentral lists this long non-coding RNA (280 nucleotides) under Numida meleagris (helmeted guineafowl). Its description in RNAcentral is "lncRNA (ENSNMEG00000018610.1)". Lineage: Eukaryota; Metazoa; Chordata; Aves; Galliformes; Numididae. The record is from RNAcentral.
AGGGAUGUAUCAGAAAGGGCUGGAUUUUUCCUUUCUUUAAACCACUUGGCAUUAGGAAAACUCAAUUUUCUUUGUGAACUUGAAUAAAACCAAGAGAAGUAAAGAUUACUGAUGUCGGUGUUGCGCUGAAAGAAAUAGGAAAUAAUGGUACAGAGCAAUUCUUCCUUUAAUAUCAUAGAACUCAGCACUGCGUUUGACAUAUUGUGAUGCUAUCCUUUUCAGUGUUAACUGUGCAUGAUUUGACCCACUUACUGUAAUUUUUUUCCAUGUUCAGCCUUCU